Molecule: unclassified non-coding RNA, 5139 nt
Filed under: Leishmania donovani
Lineage: Eukaryota; Euglenozoa; Kinetoplastea; Trypanosomatida; Trypanosomatidae
Description: gene:LdHU3.12.0940(CDS-product:protein_phosphatas e_with_EF-Hand_domains_(PPEF))
Source: RNAcentral
ACAUAUGCAUACUCAUGUACGCACGCGCCCCCCUCCCUCCUCUCCCUCCCUAAAAGAAAAGAAACACGCAACCUUCCAUUGGCGCAGGUGCAGCCUUGUUUCUUGUGUUUCGCCUUCGCACCCCCUUUUCCCGCCCGGUCUUCGCUGCAGGCGUAACGAAACGGAAAAGGAGACACACCAAGGCCUGCUGGUGGUGUCUCUCGGCCUCCGCUCCCCCACCUCCCCCGUCGGCCCACAACCCCACACACGCUGGCACUCCGCACCUCUCAGCUCUCCAUCUUCCCAAACGUCGAGCUUGCUGACCCUCUUUUUCUUUCGUUGACUGCGAUUCUUUUUUUUUUCUUUCGUGCGCGUGCGUGUUGCCGCAUCCGCACUCGCUUGUCGUUUUACAUGCGCGGUCGGCUCAGAUCGAUCGAGCCCCCUUGACAAGCCGAACUGCACAGCAGCGAUACGGCCACCCAUCCUUCUUUGUGUGCGUCGUGGGGUGUGUGCGUGAGUACGUGUGCGUGCGCACGACACCCAUCAUCGCUACCACCAUUCACUAACACAGCAGUGGCGGCUUUGGUUUGAGGAAUCUUACGCUCUAGUGCACCUGCAGCAGCUCUGGCGCGCUUGCUGCGGCUUCCUUUCUUUUGCGCUGUGACCCACACGUGGCUGCGGCUGCGAAUUUGUGUGCACACACACACACGCACGCAACAGCAACAAAAAGCGAACGGAAAGCAAACCGAAAGUCAGAUCCAAGUACGCGGAGGAAAGGAGGGUCGAGCGAUCUGCAAGACGCCGCCACCUGGCAGACAUUCGACACUCAGAACUUGUAUCACGGAUUGACGAUAUUGUAUUUGCCCCAGUUGCGGUGGCCGGUCUCUUGCUUGUCGAGGCGAACCUCACACAUCCGCGAUGGGGUGCGACUCAUCCAAGGAGAGCGUGGCGUCCAACACCGCGUCCGCGAGCAGCAGGGGCAGCCGCAACUGCGCCGAGAAGGGGAAAGGUGGACGACGCACUUAUAGUAAUGGUAGUACAGAAGUCAAAGGCAAAUCGGGCGCCAGUGGUGCCCACAACGGCGGCAGCAUGGCUGGCGCCGGUGGCACUAUGGCGGAUCAGAGCCGCUGGCCGACGUGCCACUUUUGCCACCGCAAGGUCCCGGACAAGGACUACAACGCCCACACUGUCAUGUGCGACGAGCGUGAGGUGACGUGCUGGAACUCUUGGUGCCGCCAGAUUGUGCGGCAAGGUGACCUGCAGAAGCAUCUGGAGGACUGCGGGAGGCGGCAGAAGGCGAUUUGCCCCAAGUGCGGUGCCGAGAUCCUGGCCAUGGAGAUGCUGGCGCACCGGGAUAGCUGCCAGCCAAAGCCGUGCCCGCAAUGCGGGGAGCUAUGCAUCACCCGCAUCCACAAGUGGUGCCCCAAGACAAUCCUGGCCAAGGUGAAGUUCAUCAACGGUCCUUUCGCGACGGAGGUUCUGCAGCGCCGCUUCUUGCCACCCGGAAAAGAGAAGGACCCGAGGGCGAAGCUCGAGUAUAGCGUGGCGCGGAUGCAGCUUCUGUGGCGCUGGAUCAAGUGCAAAGGCAUGAUCGAGGAGACGAUCUUCCGCAGCGUGUACAAGGAGAUGGACCUCAAAAAAGAGGGUUUCGCCAUUUUCAAGGCUCACGACAAGGUCAACGAGCAACACGUCAUGGCACCGAAGCGGUCGCGAUCAGUGAUUCAGGCACCAGUGGUGGCCCCAGCGACGUCCUCGCACUACUUCCCGGUGAACACCAACGCCCCUAUCACCCUUCACCACGUCGAGCAGAUGAUCAAGGACAUCAAGAACCGCGUGCUUCUGCCGUACCCGGCCGCCUGGCGCGUCUUCACCGACGCGAUGAACCACCUCAACACCAUGCCGAAUGUCGUGCGCGUGUCGCCGGCCGUCGGGGCCCGCGUCAGCAACGGCCGCGUGAUUCAGGGCUGCAAGGUAGUCGUCGUGGGUGACUUGCACGGCCAGAUUGCCGACCUCCUGCAUAUCCUCAAGGAGAGCGGUAUGCCGAGCGAGAGUAAUUAUUACGUCUUCAACGGCGACUACGUCGACCGCGGCGCGUGCGGUGUGGAGAUCAUUCUCAUCCUCUUCUCCCUGAUGCUGGCGUGCCCCAAGUACGUCACGCUCAACCGCGGCAACCACGAGUGCGACUACAUGAACGACGAGUAUGGCUUCGAUGUUGAGGUGAGCACCAAGUAUGACCGUAACGUGUUCCGGCUUAUCCAGCGCUGCUUCUGCGCCUUGCCGCUCGCCACGCUCAUCGGUGGCAAGAUCUUCGUCGUUCACGGCGGUCCGCCUCGGCGACGCGGGGUUAGCAUCAACGAUAUCUCGCGUAUCCAGCGCUUCCGGCAGAUUCCGAUCCCCAACUACUCGCAGCCCGAGGAGGACGAGAUCUUCCAGGACAUGCUGUGGUCCGACCCGGUAGAGGACAUAAAGGGCUGGCGAGAGAGUCAGCGUGGCGCGGGCGUCGAAUUCGGCUCCGACGUGACGAUGGAGUUCUUGGAGAACAACAAGCUGGAGCUCAUCGUACGUUCGCACGAGGAUUGCCUGAGCGGGUACGAGGAGCACCAUAACCACAAGCUACUGACGAUCUUCUCGGCUAGCAACUACGACGGACCGAACUCGAACUACGGCGCCAUCUGCACCUUCAUCGGCGACAACCUGGAGCCGUCUUACCACACGUACCAGAUGUUCGAGGACGAGUACGACGACUCGCAGGUGGUGAGUCUCACCGACUCUUUCGCGCUCACGGCGCCGAACAUCGCCAGGAUCAGCUCCUUCACCGCUACCAUCGGAAGCGUCGGCUUUGGGGUGAACAAGAGUAACUUUAUGAGCCGAGUUCUGCUGCACCGUCGCACGAAAGACAACAUUCUGCGUGAGCUGCGCGAGCGCAUCUACCAGCGCCGCCACCGCCUUCUAGCCUACUUCUCGAAGCUCGACCGCACGAACAAGGGGUCACUGUGGAUGAUCGAGUGGGUGGAGUCGAUGCGCAACGUACUAAACCUCGACCUGCCAUGGUACUUCCUGCGUGGCUACAUCGUCGAGGUGGACGAUCACUCGCGCAUCUGGUACGCCCCGUUCCUGAACCGCUUCCACAACGUGCUGCAAGAUCUGUGGGGUGAGGAGUGGCGGCAGUCCGUGUGCGCGCGAGUGCUGCAGCAGCAGCGCAUGAAUCACCGCUCGCAGCUCGUUUCUGCCGCCUUCAACAAGGAGGUGGUGAACUACAACGAGUUCUGCUCUGUCAUGCGCGCCAUCGACUACACGACGAGCGACUGCCAACUCUUCCAGCUGUUCGAGUCGUUCGACGAGAAGGGCAACGGUCAUAUCAGCGGACCAGAAUUCUUGAAGAAGGUACAGCAGAUCGCCAACGACAAGCCCGACCCGCUCCGCUGGGACAUCGAUGCCAUGGAGCAGCUGCAGAAUAUCGUGAUCCAGGGCCGCAGCCAGCUUCCCUCGCUGUUCCGUGUAACUUCGCGGGACAAGGCGCUGUCAAGAGAGCGCUUCAUGGCCGGCAUGGCGCAGCUGGGCCGUUGCAUGCGCAAGCAGCUAACACAGCCACAGAGGGAGGCUAUCUUUGACUUUAUGAAGCAGCGCGUGCCAGAGGGGGAGGAGAUGACUUUCGACAUGUUCCUGCUGUGUGUGUACGUCUUCGAUCGUCGAACCGUCGCCGGGAUGAAGUCGUCCUACUCGCUCUCCGACUUGAACGAGUUAGGACUGGCCCCCAUUUCUUUUCGAAAUACGAGCUUUUCUGGCUCCGGCACUGGCCGCUAAACCUAAGUAGUGACGAUUCUGGCGAUGGAGAUGUGGCACACUUGUCAGUUCGUGAGCGUAUGUGUGUGUGUGGGGGGUGAACAGAUGCCUUUGCGCGUGGUGACGAUGGUACGUGGCCUUGACUCCCCCUUUUUUUAUACUGCCGACCUCACCUUGUCCUGGUAUACCUAUACAUACGCACACAUAUAAAUAUAGAGAUAUUUAUAGGUGCUUGCUUACGUCUCUUGGUAUUUUGGCGCAGUACUUUUUUUUGUUUUCAGCUCUCCCCCCACCGACUCUUCCCCUCCCUUUCUUCCUUCCUGUCAUGUUUCUUUGCACGCUCGUGUGUGUGUGUGUGUGUGUGUGUGUGUGUGAGUAUGCCGGUGUCUCUGUGUGGCCCCAUCGACGCUCCGUAGCGGUGCUGACGGUUUCUUGGACUUGCUGCUCUGUUCUCUAGCUUGCUGGCGCCUCGUUUUUUUUUUUGUUCCCCCCCCUUUCGCGCUAUGAGUAUGGUGUGGAGGCGGCAGCCCGUGCCUUUGGAGCUGUGAUGCGGGAGCCGAGGGUGGUGAUGUGGAGGAGAGAGGUGAUGGCUCGUCCGGUGCUCGGCAUGUUGCGCGUGAUUCUGCCGCAUUUCUCUCCCUCUCGCUCUUUUUUUUCGUUUUACAUGCUUUGCUGGGCUUGUCUCGUUCCAUCGCGUUAGUAUCGGCCUUCCGCGCUUCAUGUGCGCUGCUCGGCCGCGCCGUUUCCUUGUUCGCGUGUUUUGCGUUCUCUCCGUUCCGUUCUGGCCCCCCUCCCCAGCCUUCGUUUCUCUCUCUCUCUCUCUGUGCGUGCGUGUGUAUGUGUGUGCAGUUUCACGCGCUCUGCGCGUGCGUGUGAACUCGUUAUGGAAUUUCGUUUUGUUGUGCUGUUCUGUGUUUGUGUGACGAGUGUCAGCGAAGACGGCGAUGUGCGCCUGUGAGGCCGUCGUCGACGUUCUCUCGCGCCUUCUUUGCGUCUCUGUGCUUAUAGGUAGGCCUACACACAUAUAUAUAUGUGUGCGUGUGUGUGUGUAUGAAAUAUAUACCUAUAUAUGUAUGUAUAUGCAUGCAUGCACGUGUGUAUGUUUUCUCCCGGCACUGCGUUUGCCAGUCUUUGUGCUUCUCUCGGCGUCUCUGUCUUGUCUUUUCCUGACACACAGACACACAGACACACACACACACACACACACACCUACAAGGAAGAGGCAUCUGCACUCACGGAAGCAUCGACAGAUACAAGCCGCCCCCUCCCGCGCAUGGCAUAUCCGUCUUUCUGCUUUCCUUGCUCACCUGCUGAUGCUGACUCUUUAUUUUUCUUUCUCAAGCCCUGUGACUUGUAUGCCGAUGUUGCGUGAGAGCC